CGUUGGCGGCGUGGAUUAGGCAUGCAAGUCGUACGGGCCCGGCCGCAAGGCCGGGUCAGUGGCGCAAGGGUGAGUAAGGCGACGGUAACCAACCCCACGGGUGGGUAUAGCCGCGGGAAACUGCGGGUAAUCCCCAGCGACGUCGCGGGAGGGCAUCCCCCCGCGACCAAAGGUCAGCCGCCGUGGGACGGGCCGUCGUGGUAUUAGGUUGUUGGCGGGGUAACGGCCCACCAAGCCGGCGAUGCCUACCGGGCGUGCGAGCGCGACCCGGCACACUGGGACUGAGACACUGCCCAGACUCCUACGGGAGGCUGCAGUCGAGAAUCUUCGGCAAUGGGCGCAAGCCUGACCGAGCGACGCCGCGUGGAGGACGAAGGCCUUCGGGUUGUAAACUCCUGUCGAGGGGGAAGAAGGCCCCGCAAGGGGCUUGACUGAUCCCUGGAGGAAGCACGGGCUAAGUUCGUGCCAGCAGCCGCGGUAAGACGAACCGUGCGAACGUUAUUCGGAAUCACUGGGCUUAAAGCGCGUGUAGGCGGGACGGCACGUCGGUAGCUGAAAUCCCCCGGCUCAACCGGGGAACGGGCGCCGAUACGACCGCCCUCGAGGGACGUAGGGGGA
Molecule: ribosomal RNA, 618 nt
Filed under: uncultured soil bacterium
Lineage: Bacteria
Description: bacterial SSU rRNA
Rfam family: Bacterial small subunit ribosomal RNA
Source: RNAcentral